Molecule: transfer RNA, 85 nt
Filed under: Pseudopyrenochaeta lycopersici CRA-PAV_ER 1211
Lineage: Eukaryota; Fungi; Ascomycota; Dothideomycetes; Pleosporales; Pseudopyrenochaetaceae
Description: tRNA-Val (AAC) (tRNA-Val-AAC-3-1)
Source: RNAcentral
GGCUCGGUGGUGUAGUUGGUCAUCACGUCAGUCUAACAAGCUAAUUCGGAGGAAUAGGUCCCGAGUUCAAGCCUCGGCUGAGUCA